This 444-nucleotide ribosomal RNA is filed under the name uncultured bacterium. RNAcentral's name for it is "bacterial SSU rRNA". It matches the Rfam family "Bacterial small subunit ribosomal RNA", at positions 331 to 792 of the family's 1533-position model. The record is from RNAcentral.
CCAGACUCCUACGGGAGGCAGCAGUGGGGAAUAUUGCACAAUGGGGGAAACCCUGAUGCAGCGACGCCGCGUGAGUGAAGAAGUAUCUCGGUACGUAAAGCUCUAUCAGCAGGGAAGAAAAUGACGGUACCUGAAGAAGAAGCCCCGGCUAACUACGUGCCAGCAGCCGCGGUAAUACGUAGGGGGCAAGCGUUAUCCGGAUUUACUGGGUGUAAAGGGGGCGCAGACGGCGAUGCAAGCCAGGAGUGAAAGCCCGGGGCCCAACCCCGGGACUGCUCUUGGAACUGCGUGGCUGGAGUGCAGGAGGGGCAGGCGGAAUUCCUGGUGUAGCGGUGAAAUGCGUAGAUAUUAGGAGGAACACCAGUGGCGAAGGCGGCCUACUGGACGGUGACUGACGCUGAGGCUCGAAAGCGUGGGGAGCAAACAGGAUUAGAUACCCCGGUA